RNAcentral lists this ribosomal RNA (492 nucleotides) under uncultured bacterium. RNAcentral describes it as "partial 16S ribosomal RNA". It matches the Rfam family "Bacterial small subunit ribosomal RNA", at positions 29 to 507 of the family's 1533-position model. The record is from RNAcentral.
AGUGAACGCUGGCGGUAGGCCUAACACAUGCAAGUCGAACGGCAGCACAGUAAGAGCUUGCUCUUACGGGUGGCGAGUGGCGGACGGGUGAGGAAUACAUCGGAAUCUACUUUUUCGUGGGGGAUAACGUAGGGAAACUUACGCUAAUACCGCAUACGACCUACGGGUGAAAGCAGGGGAUCUUCGGACCUUGCGCGAUUGAAUGAGCCGAUGUCGGAUUAGCCAGUUGGCGGGGUAAAGGCCCACCAAGGCGACGAUCCGUAGCUGGUCUGAGAGGAUGGUCAGCCACACUGGAACUGAGACACGGUCCAGACUCCUACGGGAGGCAGCAGUGGGGAAUAGUGGACAAUGGGCGCAAGCCUGAUCCAGCCAUACCGCGUGGGUGAAGAAGGCCUUCGGGUUGUAAAGCCCUUUUGUUGGGAAAGAAAAGCAGCAGGUUAAUACCCCGCUGUUCUGACGGUACCCAAAGAAUAAGCACCGGCUAACUUCGUG